UACGGAAGGCAGCAGUGGGGAAUAUUGCACAAUGGGCGCAAGCCUGAUGCAGCCAUGCCGCGUGUAUGAAGAAGGCCUUCGGGUUGUAAAGUACUUUCAGUCGUGAGGAAGGUGUUAAGGUUAAUAACCUUAGCAAUUGACGUUAGCGACAGAAGAAGCACCGGCUAACUCCGUGCCAGCAGCCGCGGUAAUACGGAGGGUGCGAGCGUUAAUCGGAAUUACUGGGCGUAAAGGGCACGCAGGCGGUUAAUUAAGUUGGAUGUGAAAUCCCCGGGCUUAACCUGGGAAUGGCAUUCAAGACUGGUUGGCUAGAGUCUUGUAGAGGGGGUAGAAUUCCAUGUGUAGCGGUGAAAUGCGUAGAGAUGUGGAGGAAUACCGGUGGCGAAGGCGGCCCCUGGACAAAGACUGACGCUCAUGUGCGAAAGCGUGGGGAGCAAACAGGAUUAGAUACC
Molecule: ribosomal RNA, 452 nt
Filed under: uncultured bacterium
Lineage: Bacteria
Description: bacterial SSU rRNA
Rfam family: Bacterial small subunit ribosomal RNA
Source: RNAcentral